GCAGUCGAACGGAACUGUUUUGAAAGAUUUCUUCGGAAUGAAUUUGAUUUAGUUUAGUGGCGGACGGGUGAGUAACGCGUGAGUAACCUGCCUUCAAGAGGGGGAUAACAUUCUGAAAAGAAUGCUAAUACCGCAUGACAUAUCGGAACCACAUGGUUCUGAUAUCAAAGAUUUUAUCGCUUGAAGAUGGACUCGCGUCCGAUUAGUUGGUGAGGUAACGGCUCACCAAGACCGCGAUCGGUAGCCGGACUGAGAGGUUGAACGGCCACAUUGGGACUGAGACACGGCCCAGACUCCUACGGGAGGCAGCAGUGGGGGAUAUUGCGCAAUGGGGGCAACCCUGACGCAGCAACGCCGCGUGAAGGAUGAAGGUUUUCGGAUUGUAAACUUCUUUUAUUAAGGACGAAAAAUGACGGUACUUAAUGAAUAAGCUCCGGCUAACUACGUGCCAGCAGCCGCGGUAAUACGUAGGGAGCAAGCGUUGUCCGGAUUUACUGGGUGUAAAGGGUGCGUAGGCGGCUUUGCAAGUCAGAUGUGAAAUCUAUGGGCUCAACCCAUAAACUGCAUUUGAAACUGUAGAGCUUGAGUGAAGUAGAGGCAGGCGGAAUUCCCCGUGUAGCGGUGAAAUGCGUAGAGAUGGGGAGGAACACCAGUGGCGAAGGCGGCCUGCUGGGCUUUAACUGACGCUGAGGCACGAAAGCGUGGGUAGCAAACAGGAUUAGAUACCCUGGUAGUCCACGCUGUAAACGAUGAUUACUAGGUGUGGGGGGUCUGACCCCUUCCGUGCC
This 788-nucleotide ribosomal RNA is filed under the name uncultured bacterium. RNAcentral's name for it is "bacterial SSU rRNA". It matches the Rfam family "Bacterial small subunit ribosomal RNA", at positions 57 to 847 of the family's 1533-position model. The record is from RNAcentral.